CUUGACCGGCACCGGAGCUGCUAG
Molecule: non-coding RNA, 24 nt
Filed under: Arabidopsis thaliana (thale cress)
Lineage: Eukaryota; Viridiplantae; Streptophyta; Magnoliopsida; Brassicales; Brassicaceae
Source: RNAcentral